RNAcentral lists this ribosomal RNA (424 nucleotides) under Verrucomicrobiota bacterium. RNAcentral describes it as "Verrucomicrobia bacterium partial 16S ribosomal RNA". It matches the Rfam family "Bacterial small subunit ribosomal RNA", at positions 355 to 776 of the family's 1533-position model. Lineage: Bacteria; Pseudomonadati; Verrucomicrobiota. The record is from RNAcentral.
UGAGGAAUAUUGGUCAAUGGGCGAGAGCCUGAACCAGCCAAGUAGCGUGCAGGAUGACGGCCCUAUGGGUUGUAAACUGCUUUUAUAUGGGAAUAAAGUGAGGGACGUGUCCCUUAUUGCAUGUACCAUAUGAAUAAGGACCGGCUAAUUCCGUGCCAGCAGCCGCGGUAAUACGGAAGGUCCAGGCGUUAUCCGGAUUUAUUGGGUUUAAAGGGAGCGUAGGCUGUUUGUUAAGCGUGUUGUGAAAUGUAAGAGCUCAACUUUUAGAUUGCAGCGCGAACUGGCAGACUUGAGUGCGCACAACGUAGGCGGAAUUCAUGGUGUAGCGGUGAAAUGCUUAGAUAUGACGAAGAACUCCGAUUGCGAAGGCAGCUGACGGGAGCGCAACUGACGCUUAAGCUCGAAGGUGCGGGUAUCAAACAGG